Talpa occidentalis (Iberian mole) is the source of this 561-nucleotide long non-coding RNA. RefSeq lists it as uncharacterized. Lineage: Eukaryota; Metazoa; Chordata; Mammalia; Eulipotyphla; Talpidae. The record is from RefSeq and is a predicted model, not a curated record. The transcript has 4 exons.
CUGUGCAGACAGGGACACAGGGAAGUCAAGACUGGAAUCCCCCAUGGCUCCCACAGAUAAACAGCAAGAAAGGAUCAACAAACAGGCGCAGACCAGUGUUUCCCCACCGUCUUCCCUAUCAGUUCUAUUCUGAGAAUCAGCAACAGCAGCCACCAUUACUUACCCAGUGUGUACUAUGGGCCAGUAGAAGGCUUUCACGUGCAUCGACUCCAUUAAUUUCUACUAUAAGAUCAAUGCUUCUCAAAGUUUAAUGUGAACAGAACCACUGGAGAGUUGUCAAAACGCAGUCUGACUCUGGAGGUCUUGGAUGGGGCCUGAGCGUCUGCAUUUUAAAAGGCUCCCAGGUGUUUCCACCUUCACGGCUGCGCUCCCUGACCCACUCCACGUUCCUCGGAUUUUCUUUAAGUCGAGUCAUCUGAAACCAGGCUGCUGCGCUAACAAUAGUUUGGCCUCUGAAAUAAAGGAUGCUGCAAUUUGAGGAGAGCAUUAUCACAACCCAGCGUGUUGGAUUCAAAAUGGGGGAGCUGCUGAGAUGGGAAAAAAGAGAAAGCAGGGAAGAGA